This 403-nucleotide RNase P RNA is filed under the name Burkholderiales bacterium. Its description in RNAcentral is "RNase P RNA component class A". It matches the Rfam family "Bacterial RNase P class A". From Rfam's summary of the family: Ribonuclease P (RNase P) is a ubiquitous endoribonuclease, found in archaea, bacteria and eukarya as well as chloroplasts and mitochondria. Its best characterised activity is the generation of mature 5'-ends of tRNAs by cleaving the 5'-leader elements of precursor-tRNAs. Lineage: Bacteria; Pseudomonadati; Pseudomonadota; Betaproteobacteria; Burkholderiales. The record is from RNAcentral.
GGAGCGGGUCGGACGAUCGCUGGCGUUCGCGCUGGAGGAAGGUCCGGACUCCACCGGGCAGGAUGCUGGCUAACGGCCAGGCGCAGCAAGCCGCAAGGCCCAAGGCGACGGAAAGUGGAACAGAGAGCAGACCGCCCAAGCGGCCGCCGGUUCGCCGGCAGCCGACGGCAAGGGUGAAACGGCGAGGUAAGAGCUCACCGCGGACGUGGCGACACGGACGGCACGCCAAACCCCAUCCGGAGCAACAUCAAAUAGGCACGCGCGCCGCCUUCGGGCGGUACGGACGGCCCGUCCGAGCGUGCGGGUAGAUGGCUCGAGCGGCCGGGUAACCGGCCGCCCAGAUGAAUGAUCGUCACGCCGGUUCGCCGGCGUACAGAAUCCGGCCUAUAGACCCNNNNNNNNN